UAGGGAAUCUUCGGCAAUGGACGAAAGUCUGACCGAGCAACGCCGCGUGAGUGAAGAAGGUUUUCGGAUCGUAAAACUCUGUUGUUAGAGAAGAACAAGGACGUUAGUAACUGAACGUCCCCUGACGGUAUCUAACCAGAAAGCCACGGCUAACUACGUGCCAGCAGCCGCGGUAAUACGUAGGUGGCAAGCGUUGUCCGGAUUUAUUGGGCGUAAAGCGCACGCAGGCGGUCUGUCAAGUCAGAUGUGAAAUCCCCGGGCUCAACCUGGGAACUGCAUCUGAUACUGGCAAGCUUGAGUCUCGUAGAGGGGGGUAGAAUUCCAGGUGUAGCGGUGAAAUGCGUAGAGAUCUGGAGGAAUACCGGUGGCGAAGGCGGCCCCCUGGACGAAGACUGACGCUCAGGUGCGAAAGCGUGGGGAGCAAACAGG
RNAcentral lists this ribosomal RNA (429 nucleotides) under Chloroflexota bacterium. Its description in RNAcentral is "Chloroflexi bacterium partial 16S ribosomal RNA". It matches the Rfam family "Bacterial small subunit ribosomal RNA", at positions 355 to 776 of the family's 1533-position model. Lineage: Bacteria; Bacillati; Chloroflexota. The record is from RNAcentral.